This 465-nucleotide ribosomal RNA is filed under the name Vreelandella stevensii. RNAcentral describes it as "partial 16S ribosomal RNA". It matches the Rfam family "Bacterial small subunit ribosomal RNA", at positions 338 to 795 of the family's 1533-position model. The record is from RNAcentral. Lineage: Bacteria; Pseudomonadati; Pseudomonadota; Gammaproteobacteria; Oceanospirillales; Halomonadaceae.
CCUACGGGGGGCAGCAGUGGGGAAUAUUGGACAAUGGGGGCAACCCUGAUCCAGCCAUGCCGCGUGUGUGAAGAAGGCCCUCGGGUUGUAAAGCACUUUCAGUGAGGAAGAACGCCUGGUGGUUAAUACCCAUCAGGAAAGACAUCACUCACAGAAGAAGCACCGGCUAACUCCGUGCCAGCAGCCGCGGUAAUACGGAGGGUGCGAGCGUUAAUCGGAAUUACUGGGCGUAAAGCGCGCGUAGGUGGCUUGAUAAGCCGGUUGUGAAAGCCCCGGGCUCAACCUGGGAACGGCAUCCGGAACUGUCAAGCUCGAGUGCAGGAGAGGAAGGUAGAAUUCCCGGUGUAGCGGUGAAAUGCGUAGAGAUCGGGAGGAAUACCAGUGGCGAAGGCGGCCUUCUGGACUGACACUGACACUGAGGUGCGAAAGCGUGGGUAGCAAACAGGAUUAGAUACCCCUGUAGUC